UGGCACCCGACCGUUCUUCUACACGAGCAGCCGGCUGGAUGCUGUUCUGUUUCUUUUCUUCCUCGGCAGCCGGCCUCUCUCCCCCUUUUUUUUGUCAGCCGGCCUUUGACACUCGGCCUUUGACUUUUUCAGUCGGCCCCAAGCGAGCAGCCGGCCCCCGCUUCUUCUUUUCCUUGCGUGGGGCAGCCGGCAUCUCACUUCUUUUCCCAGCCGGACCGGCAUCUCCUGUCAAUGAGCACCCGAUCGAAGCAGGCGGCCGCAGCGGCGGGGGCUUGGCCGCGUCCGUGGACCGGAGCCGGCGCGGAACAGGGCGGCAGCCGGCAGGCGGGGGCUCGGCCAUGGCAGCGGGAGCGCGACGGGCGCCAGGGAGGAGGCCGGGCGCGGGAGCCAGCGACGGGGCGGACCGGAGUCNNNNNNNNNNNNNNNNNNNNNNNNNNNNNNNNNNNNNNNNNNNNNNNNNNNNNNNNNNNNNNNNNNNNNNNNNNNNNNNNNNNNNNNNNNNNNNNNNNNNNNNNNNNNNNNNNNNNNNNNNNNNNNNNNNNNNNNNNNNNNNNNNNNNNNNNNNNNNNNNNNNNNNNNNNNNNNNNNNNNNNNNNNNNNNNNNNNNNNNNNNNNNNNNNNNNNNNNNNNNNNNNNNNNNNNNNNNNNNNNNNNNNNNNNNNNNNNNNNNNNNNNNNNNNNNNNNNNNNNNNNNNNNNNNNNNNNNNNNNNNNNNNNNNNNNNNNNNNNNNNNNNNNNNNNNNNNNNNNNNNNNNNNNNNNNNAGCGGCCAGACCAAGCGGCGGGCGGCCGCGGGGGCCGAGCUAGCGGGUGCCGAGCACCCGGCCGCGUGCGGAUGUGAAGCCGGCCGCUGCUGGGAAGGGCGGGGCAGGCGGCCCGAGCGCACGGAGCGCAGCCGGAGGUGGCGAGCUGGCGCGAGGGGCACAAGAAGCGGACGGGCGAUGAAGGCGCUGAGGCCAGGCGGAGACCCAGGCGCGUAGGACCUGACGAACACCGGGCGGCGGGACGGCACGGAGGAGCGCGCGCUCGCGGAGCGGUGAAACGGGGGAGGGAAGGCAGGGAGCAGCGCGGGCCAGCAACGCGCGCGGGCACACGGAGGCCAAGCGACGUGCGAGCAGGACCAUGCGGCCAGGACGCGGUGCACAGGCACACGGGGGCUGAGCGGCGGGGCGUACGCGGGCGUGCAGAGCAGUGGGCGAGCAGGACCUGUAGGCAUGGGUGCACGCAUGCGUUGUCUGUGUUGUGUCUGGCCACUGUACGAGGGACGUAUGAGCAGUGUCCAACCACUGUGUGAGCAGAGUAUGGGGGCGUCCAGCCACUGUACAAGCAGUGAGGAGCCAGAACAUUUGCAGCGGGCGCGGCGGCAAAUAGUAGGAGCAGCGGCAGGUGAAGGUAGCGGCAGUGCUCGGCGGAGCGGAGCAGAGGGGCGCAGAGCUGGCGGCCUGGAGGCCAUCGGAGGAGCAUGGCUGCGCGAGCUCAUGUUGGAUGCGUGCAACGGGAUGGACGAGGGCGCGGCGGACGUCCAGCCGCCUGCGUGCACACGAGAUGUGCUAGCUAGCUAAGCUAGCAUGCAUGCAGCCAAGUCGAUUGCCUUAGCUAGCUAGGCGUAGGCGCGUGUACGCAUAGGGACGGAUGCGGCCAGCCUGCCUGCGCAUGGAGGGGAGGCUCGAGGAGCAGAGAGCGAAGCCGGCGACGAGACGAACGGCGUGUCCGAGGAAGGCGGAGGCAGACGGCGACGACGCGACAUGCCGCACGGCCGCCCUGGGGGCGAGUCAAUGUUGAGCUCCCAGGCGCGCCGGAAAGGCGACGGCGACGCCUUGGCGGAGGUGACGAAGAUGGCGAGGCCGACGACGAGGACACGCCGCCCCGCGCGGUCACUCCCGGGACGGGUCGAUGUCGAGCCCCCGAGCGCUACCGAGGAGACGACGCGACGCCGUGGCGAUGAUGAUGAAAAAAGGGUCCCGCCCGGACUGCGAAACCAGCAGCAGCGUGGUAGCAUAGUACCGCCCCACGGUGGGCGCCAACUGUCGUGGUAUUCUCACGGGGGGCUUGCGAGUCGACAGAUGCCACAAGGGCUUAGUGUGAGGGUAAGACUGCUGCUGAUAGGCCCGGGAGCGGGUAUGCGAGUAGCACGCGCUAGUUUACCCAGGUUUGGGGCUCUCCGGAGAGAUAAUACCCCUACUCCUACAUGUCUGAGUAUAUCUGGUAUGUAUAUCUGGUACAGAGUGCUCCUGGAGCUGUAUCUAAGCUCAGUGUCAUAUGCAUCUGGCUUUGUAUAUGUACGUGGCCUGGUGGUCAUUGCCUCUGGCCGUAUGGAUGUGCUUGGGCAUGCUUGCCCGUGGGAAUGGACGGAUGGAUGGCUAGCUAGCUCUCUUGCUAGCUAGCUUGCUUGUGGGUGUGUGCGUGAGUCCAUCCUAGAUGGAUGGAUGUGUGCCCAUAUAUAUAGGCAUGGCUAGCUUAGGAAGUAAGCUAAGUGAUGGUAUGGGCAAGGCAUGGUGGGGUGUUACACUUGUCCCCUGGGUCAUUUCAUAAAUAGUGCCCAGGAACAAGUGACAUUGUACAUGAUGGCGUCGCGGUACAGCUGUCUCGUCCGCGGUAUGGCCGUCUCAUCGGGGUCUUGUCGGUGUCGGGCGGGCUGCAGUCGGCAGCCGGCUGGUUGGCGCAGUCGGUCAGCUGGCAGCCGGCCGGGUGGAGCAGUCGGCGGGGAGCCGGCAGGAGCAGCCGGGCAGUCGGACUGAGGGGCUUUGCUAGCCCCGAUGUCUUGAAAUAUUGUCUUGCCGUCUUCGGGGUACCCGUGGUCAAUUACUCCGUCAGUUUGAUAUUCCUUUUCUGCGAAACACUGAAAUAGGCAAAAAAAAACAGCAAUUUGCACUAGGCCUUUGGUUAGUAGGUUAGUCCCAAAAAUAAUAUAAAAGUGUAUAAUAAAGCCCAUUAAACAUCCAAAACAGAUAAUAUAAUAGCAUGGAACAAUCAAAAAUUAUAGAUACGUUGGAGACAUAUCAAGCAUCCCCAAGCUUAAUUCCUGCUCGUCCUCGAGUAGGUAAAUGAUAAAAACACAAUUUUGAUGUGGAAUGCUACCUAGCAUAAUUCUCAAUGUAAUUUUCUUUAUUGUGGCAUGAAUGUUCAGAUCCGAAAGAUUCAAGAUAAAAGUUUAAUAUUGACAUAAAAAUAAUAAUACUUCAACCAUACUAACAAAUCAAUCAUGUUUUCUCAAAAUAACAUGGCCAAAGAAAGUUAUCCCUACAAAAUCAUAUAGUCUGGCUAUGCUCUAUAUUCAUCACACAAAAUAUUUAAAUCAUGCACAACCCCGAUGAAAAGCCAAGCAAUUGUUUCAUACUUUUGAUAUUCUCAAACUUUUUCAAUCUUCACGUAAUACAUGAGCGUGAGCCAUAGACAUAGCACUAUAUGUGGAAUAGAAGGGUGGUUGUGGAGAAGACAAAAAGGAGAAGAUAGUCUCACAUCAACUAGGCGUAUCAACGGGCUAUGGAGAUGCCCAUCAAUAGAUAUCAAUGUGAGUGAGUAGGGAUUGCCAUGCAACGGAUGCACUAGAGCUAUAAGUGUAUGAAAGCUCAACAAAAAAAACUAAGUGGGUGUGCAUCCAACUUGCUUGCUCACGAAGACCUAGGGCAAUUUGAGGAAGCCCAUUAUUGGAAUAUACAAGCCAAGUUCUAUAAUGUAAAAUUCCUACUAGUAUAUGAAAGUGACAACAUAGGAGACUCUCUAUCAUGAGGAUCAUGGUGCUAUUUUAAAGCACAAGUGUGGUAAAAGGAUAGUAACAUUGUCCCUUCUCUUUUUUCUCUUAUUUUUUGUUUGGGCCUUUUCUCUUUUUUUGGCCUCUUUUUUUUCUUUUUUUCAUCCGGAGUCUCAUGCCGACUUAUGGGGGAAUCACAGUCUCCAUCAUCCUUUCCUCACGUGGGACAAUGCUCUAAUAAUGAUGAUCAUCACACUUUUAUUUACUUAUAACUCAAAAAUUACAACUCAAUACUUAGAACAAAAUAUGACUCUAUGUGAAUGCCUCCGACGGUGUACCGAGAUAUGCAAUGAAUCAAGAGUGACAUGUAUGAAAGAAUUAUAAAGGUGACUUUGCCACAAAUGUGAUGUUAACUACAUGAUCAUGCAAAGCAGUAUGACAAUGAUGAAACGUGUCAUAACAACGGAACGGUGGUAAGUUGCAUGGCAAUAUAUCUCAGAAUGGCUAUGGAAAUGCCAUAACAGGUAGGUAUGGUGCCAGUUUUGAGGAAGGUAUAUGGUGGGUGUAUGAUACCGGCGAAGGGUGCGCGGUAUUAGAGAGGCUAGCAAUGGUGGAAGGGUGAGAGUGCGUAUAGUCCAUGGACUCAACAUUAGUCAUAAAGAACUCACAUACUUAUUACAAAAAUCUAUUAGUUAUCGAAACGAAGUACUACGCGCAUGCUCCUAGGGGGAUAGAUUGGUAGGAAAAGACCAUCGCUCGUCCUCGACCGCCACUCAUAAGGAAGACAAUCAAUAAAUCAAUCAUGCUCCGACUUCAUCACAUAACGGUUCACCAUACGUGCAUGCUACGGGAAUCAUAAACUUUAACACAAGUAUUUCUCAAAUUCACAACUACUCAACUAGCAUGACUCUAAUAUCACCAUCUUCAUAUCUCAAAACAAUUAUAAAGAAUCAAACUUCUCAUAGUAUUCAAUGCACUUUAUAUGAUAGUUUUAUUAUACCUAUCUUGGAUGCUCAUCACUUUAGGACUAAUUUUAACCAAAGCGAAUUACCAUGCUGUUCUAAAAGACACUCAAAAUAAUAUAAGUGAAGCAUGAGAGAUCAAUAAUUUCUAUAAAAUAAACCACCACCGUGCUCUAAAAGAUAUAAGCGAAGCACUAGAGCAAAAUUAUCUAGCUCAAAAGAUAUAAGUGAAGCACAUAGAGUAUUCUAAUAAAUUCCAAUUCAUGUGUGUCUCUCCAAAAGGUGUGUACAGCAAGGAUGAUUGUGGUAAACUAAAAAGCAAAGACUCAAAUCAUACAAGACGCUCCAAGCAAAACACAUAUCAUGUGGUGAAUAAAAAUAUAGCCUCAAGUAAAGUUACCGAUAGACGAAGACGAAAGAGGGGGAUGCCUUCCAGGGCAUCCCCAAGCUUAGGCUUUUGGUUGUCCUUGAAUUUUACCUUGGGGUGCCUUGGGCAUCCCCAAGCUUAGGCUGUUGUCACUCCUUGUUCCAAAAUCCAUCAAAUCUUUACCCAAAAAUUUGAAAACUUCACAACACAAAACUCAACAGAAAAUCUCAUGAGCUCCGUUAGCGAAAACGCAAACUUCUGAACUCCAAAAAUUCUAAAAAAAUAGGAAGACCUAGAUAAUUUUAUUAUUAAACUACUGCAAUUUGAAUCAGUAUUUUAUCACUUUCUGGUGAUUUUUAACAAAUGUUUUCGUGAGCAGAAAGUUUCUGACUUUUUCAGCAAGAUCAAAUAAUUAUCACCCAAGAAGAUCCUAUUGGUUCUACUUGGCACAAACACUAAUUAAAACAUAAAACCACAUCUAAACAGAGGCUAGAUGAAUUAUUUAUUACUAAACAUGAACAAAAAACAAGGAACAAAAGUAAAAUUGGGUUGCCUCCCAACAAGCGCUAUCGUUUAACGCCCCUAGCUAGGCAUUGAUAGUUUCGAUGAUGCUCACAUGAAAGACAAGAAUUGAAGCACAAAGAGAGCAUCAUAAAACAUGUGACAAACACACUUAAGUCUAACAUACUUCCUAUGCAUAGACAUUUUAUAAGCAAACAAAUUAUCAAGGCAAGCAAAAACUACCAUAUGCAAGGAAGAAGAAAGAAACAAUAGCGAUCUCAACAUGAAGAGAGGUAAUUUAGUAACAUGAAAUUUUCUACAACCAUAUUUUCCUCUCUCAUAAUAAUUACAUGUUGGAUCAUAUUCAAAUUCAACAAUAUAGCUAUCACAUAAAAUUUUCUCUGCAUGAUCCACAUGCAUGCAAAGUUGACACUCUUCCAAAAUAGUGGGAAUAUCAUUAACUAAAGUCAUGACCUCUCCAAACCCACUUUUAUCAAAAAUACAUAAGAUUGAACAUUCUCCAAAUAUGUCGGAUCUAAAGUUGACACUCUUACAAACCCACUUUCAAUAUUAUUGCAAACACUAUUAUCAGUCUCAUAUUCAUCAUGGGGCUUAAAUAAAUUUUCAAGAUCAUAAGAAGAAUCACCCCAAUCAUGAUCAUUGCAACAAGUAGUAGACAUAGCAAAACUAGCAUCCCCAAGCUUAGGGUUUUGCAUAUUAUUAGCACAAUUGACAUCAAGAGAAUUUAUAGUAAAAUCAUUGCAAUCAUGCUUUUUAUUCAAGGAGCUAUCGUGAAUCUCUUCAUAAAUUUCUUCAUCACAAUUUUCAGAUUCACGAAUUUCAAGCAAAACCUCAUAAAGAUAAUCUAGUGCACUCAAAUCACUAGAAAUUGGUUCAUCAUAAUUGGAUCUCUUAAAAAUAUUAGCAAGGGGAUGCGGAUCCAUAAACUUUUAGCAAGCGAAGAUGCAAGCAAAAAGAAGGCACAUGGUAACACAAGAUCGAACGGAAGGAGGGCGAAGAAAAGGCAAAGAUGAAGGGGGGAGAGGAAAAUGAGAGGCAAAUGGCAAAUAAUGUAAUGCGAAGGAUAAGAGUUUAUGAUGGGUACUUGGUAUGUCUUGACUUGAGCGUAGAUCUCCCCGGCAAUGGCGCCAGAAAUCCGCACGUUGGUGGGAGAUCAAAUCUUGACUUGACUUGGCGUAAACCUCCCCGGCAACGGCACCAGAAAUCCUUCUUGCUACCUCUUGAGCAUGCGUUGGUUUUCCCUUAAAGAGGAAAGGGUGAUGCAGCAAAGUAGCGUAAGUAUUUCCCUCAGUUUUUGAGAACCAAGGUAUCAAUCUAGUAGGAGGUUACACACAAGUCGCCUCGUACCUACACAAACAAAUAAGAACCUUGCAACCAACGCGAUAAAGGGGUUGUCAAUCCCUUCACGGCCACUUGCAAAAGUGAGACCUGAUAGAGAUAAUAAAUAUUUUUGGUAUUUUUAUGAUAUAGAUUGGAAAGUAAAGAUUGCAAAAUAAAAGACGGAAGAAAUAGUAAAUUGAUAGGAAAAUAAUAUGAUGGAAGAUAUACCCGGGGCCAUAGGUUUCACUAGUGGCUUCUCUCAAGAUAGCAUAAUCUACGGUGGGUGAACAAAUUACUGUCGAGCAAUUGAUAAAAAAGCGCAUAGUUAUGAGAAUAUCUAGGCAUGAUCAUGUAUAUAGGCAUCACGUCCGCGACAAGUAGACCGAAAUGAUUCUGCAUCUACUACUAUUACUCCACACAUCGACCGCUAUCCAGCAUGCAUCUAGAGUAUUAAGUUCAUAAGAACAGAGUAACGCAUUAGGCAAGAUGACAUGAUGUAGAGGGAUAAACUCAAGUGAUAUGAUAUAAACCCUAUCUUUUUAUCCUCGAUGGAAACAAUACAAUACAUGCCUUGCUGCCCCUGCUGUCAUUGGGAAAGGACACCGCAAGAUUGAACCCAAAGCUAAGCACUUCUCCCAUUGCAAGAAAGAUCAAUCUAGUAGGCCAAACCAAACUGAUAAUUCGAAGAGACUUGCAAAGAUAUUUAAAUCAUACAUAUAAUAAUUCAGAGAAGAACCAAAUAUUGUUCAUAGAUAAUCUUGAUCAUAAACCCACAAUUCAUCGGAUCUCGACAAACACACCACAAAAAGAAUUACAUCGAAUAGAUCUCCAAGAAGAUCGAGGAGAACAUUGUAUUGAGAUCCAAAAAGAGAGAAUAAGCCAUCUAGCUAAUAACUAUGGACCCGAAGGUCUGUGGUAAACUACUCACAUAUCAUAGGAGAGACCAUGGUGUUGAUGUAGAAGCCCUCCGUGAUCGAUUCCCCCUCCGGCGGAGCGCCGAAAAAGUCCCCAAGAUGGGAUCUCACGGGUAUAGAAGGUUGCGGCGGUGGAAAUUGGGUUUCGUGGUGCUCUCGGAUGUUUUCGGGGUAUAUGAGUAUAUAUAGGCGAAAGAAGUAGGUUGGUGGAGCUACGAGGGGACCACGAGGGUGGGGGCGCGCCUCCCUGCCUUGUGGCCGCCUCGUUGCUACCUUGACGUCCACUCCAAGUCUCCUGGAUCAUGUUUGUUCCAAAAAUAACUCUCCCGAAGGUUUCAUUCCGUUUGGAUUCCGUUUGAUAUUCCUUUUCUGCGAAACACUGAAAUAGGCAAAAAAACAGCAAUUUGCACUGGGCCUUUGGUUAGUAGGUUAGUCCCAAAAAUAAUAUAGAAGUGUAUAAUAAAGCCCAUUAAACAUCCAAAACAGAUGAUAUAAUAGCAUGGAACAGUCAAAAAUUAUAGAUACGUUGGAGACGUAUCACGGAGUCCUGUUCGUAGCAGGGCGGCGACAGCCGGCCUAGAUCGACGGGCAAGCUGAUGCGCGAACGACGGCUAUGAUGGGCCGCUGCAUGGCGCGAGGCCGCCGAGUCGGGGCGGAGGCCGGGCGGUCGCGCAGGAGUUCCGGUCGGAGCAGGGCGGCGAGGCCGACGCAGAUCGUCGGGCGGGCCGGCGCGCAAACGACGAUUGGGAAGGGCCUGCGUGCAAACGACAACUAGGAAGGGCCGCAGCAUCGCGCGAGGCCGCCGGAUCGGGGAGGAGGCCGGGUGGUCGCGCCGGUGUCGGAGUAGAGGCGCGCGGGUGUUGAUGGCGGUGAUGGGCGACGCAAGCCGAUCUUAGAUCGGAAAACCAAAAAGAAACGCCGAUAAGACAACCGGCAAGAGAGAGAAAUCCGGAUCAAAGGAUCGGGAAAAAGACUCUGUAGGGCAGCCGGUCAACACGGCCGGCGGACGAACCCUAGGUACGGGCGGCAUGGCCCCCGGCGGCGGUCAUGGAAGCCGACCGCCCCGGGGACAGCGUGCAGGGCGGAAGCGGCGGGUGGCGGCUAAGGUUAGACCGGUUAGGCCAAUACCAUGUUAGAAGGGGGGAGAGAUAUUGGUGGAAUAGUUCGUUGUAUUGCUUAUAUAUAUAUAGGAGUACAAUGACUAACUUGAAGUACAAGACAAGCAAGGAUCAAAUCCUAGUCUAUCAUAUACUCCCUCCAUCCGAGAAAUCUUGUCUCAACCUUGCCCCUUAAAUGGAUGUAUCUUGCACUAACUUGUGCUAGAUACACCCAUUCAAGGGACAAGUAUUUUGGGACGGAGGAAGUACUUCCUAAUAAUCAUAUACUCAACUGUUGGGCUGGCAAUUUUCGUGCUGCAAUCAUGGCAAAUAUGGGAAAAAGCACAACAAUUACUGUGCUAAAGCAUGGCAAUUUCUUGACAAUUUUUUUAUACAACAUGAGAUUUUUAUUUAAAAACAAGACAAAUCCUUACGCAACAACAUGAUAAAUUACCUGUUUUCGCAUGGUAAUUCUGAAGCGUUCCCUGGGUGUGACCUUUCUGUGCGAGCGAAAGCGUUCGUCUACCUGGCUGAAAACGAUGGUUCGCUCGAGCGACCUUCCUAAGUGAACGUCAGCUCAUUACUCACGUCCAAACUCAUCCAGACGAGAAUUAGCAAAUCCGUAUUCCGAAAAUCAUCUGGAAAUUCGCUGUCUAUAAUCUCACGUUCAAUUAUCUCUAUGGAAACAGCCACCUCACGGCGUCCGAGGGCUCUCACGGGUAGAUACCAAAAAGGCUUUCGCCCCGAUUUAUAAAUAAAGCAACACCGAGCACAAAGUCCACAAGAUAUCAUCCGAAACACACACACCCAACGCCACCGCACGAAGGUCCAACACAAACGCACGAAACACAACACACAACACAGGUUCAGUUGUGGGCACAUCACAACAAGCCCAACAAAGCAACAAGGGACACACAGACAACAAACGGCGGCGGCGACGAUGAUGAAGAAGAGCUAAUCUGGCUCAGGCGGUGGUGGUGGGAGCGGCGGAGCCAUCCGGAGAGCCAUCGCGAAGCUGUGUGAUGAUGGAGGUGAUGCGUCUCUCUCCCUGGGGCGGCUAAGCGGCCGCCAAAGCUGCAAGUAACCAGACCAUUUGAACAAAGCGUCAGUAGCACGACGAAGAGGGAUACGCUGAAUCACAAGUUUAUUCCUAACAGUCCACAGCGUCCAGGCAAGGACCCCAAUGGUCAGCCNNNNNNNNNNNNNNNNNNNNNNNNNNNNNNNNNNNNNNNNNNNNNNNNNNNNNNNNNNNNNNNNNNNNNNNNNNNNNNNNNNNNNNNNNNNNNNNNNNNNNNNNNNNNNNNNNNNNNNNNNNNNNNNNNNNNNNNNNNNNNNNNNNNNNNNNNNNNNNNNNNNNNNNNNNNNNNNNNNNNNNNNNNNNNNNNNNNNNNNNNNNNNNNNNNNNNNNNNNNNNNNNNNNNNNNNNNNNNNNNNNNNNNNNNNNNNNNNNNNNNNNNNAGUUGGUAUGAACCCAGCUUCCACCCACAAUCUCGCGGAAACAGCUCCAUAGGAACUGCGCAGACACGCAGGUGAAGAAGAUAUGGUUCGAAUAUUCUUCAGGCCCACAGAACAGGCAACGCCCAUCACCAGGGCCAUUGCGCUUCAGAACCUCAACGCCAGAAGGGAGGCGGGCGCGAAUCCACUGCCGCAGGAAGAUCCUAAUUUUCAAGGGGAGGCGAAUCUCCCAAAUGGAGGAAAGAGCCUCAUGGCCGAGCGAGGGGGCGAUGGCUAGAUAGAGGGAUUUGGUGGAGAAUUGACCGGACGGCUCGAGGCGCCACCUGGCGCGGUCAUCGUCAGACGUGAGAUCCGGCUCAUGAAGAGCAAUACAGUCAAGCAACUCCUGCCAGUCCGCAUUCUCAGCAGGACCAAAAGGCCUCCGGAACGCAAGGCGCCCUAAGUCAAUAAGGGCGGUCGCCACGGAGAUCUGAGGGGCAACUGCGAUGGAGAACAGGUCCGGAAAGCGGGCCGCCAGGGGUGUGUCACUAGUCCAGCGAUCGAACCAGAACAGUGUGGCGGUGCCGGAACCAAUCUCGAUCGAGGUCCCGAUCCGGAGGACAGGGAGGAGCUAAAUGAUGAAUUGCCAGAACUAGGAGCCCCCAGAUCGCUGACAGAAGGCGAGAGGCUGGCCUCGGAGGUAUUUCUGCCGAAUAAUGCGCAGCCACAGGCCACCAUCUCCGUUGCUAAUCCUCGAGAGCCACCGAGUCAGAAGGGCAAUAUUCAUGCGUUUGGAGGACAUGAUCCCGAGGCCGCCUUGGUCGCGAGGUUUGCAGAUCUCAGACCACCUGACCAUGUGGUAUUUCUGCUUAUCUCCCUCGCCGGCCCAGAAAAAGCGCCCCUGAACGGUGGCAAUCUCGUGAUGAAGAGUCUUCGGAAGGCUGUAGAAGCUCAUGAUGAAUAAUAGGAGGCUAGAGAGGGACGAGUUAAUGAGCACCGAACGGGCCACUUUCGAGAGCCACCGACCCUGCCAGGGCUCGAUCCGGUGUUGGAGCUUCCCCACCGUGGGGCGCAGCUCGGCCACCGUAAGCCUGAUGUCACUAAUGGGUAUCCCCAGAUAAGUCGUGGGGAAGCACCCAAGCUGGCAGUUAAGCCAGUCCGCUAUGCUCUAUCACUCGUCUUGGGCGUAGCCCAAGAUCAUAACCUCACUCUUGUCGAAGUUGAUUCUAAGGCCGGACAUCUGCUGGAAGCACAAUAAGAGGAACUUGAGGUUCGAGAUAUCACUCUUAGAGCCCUCCACCAUGAUAAUGGUGUCGUCUGCAUAUUGGAGGAGAGAGACCCCACUGUCUCCAACAAGGUGCGGGACAAUCCCCUUAAUGUGUCCCGCCGCCUUGGCCUUAUCGAGUAUGGCCACCAGCGCAUCAACAACUAUGUUGAACAGGAAUGGGGAGAAGGGGUCGCCCUGGCGGACCCCACAGAACGUGGGGAAGAAUGGGCCGAUCUCCCCAUUAAUGUUCACCGUUGUGCGGCCUGAAGAUACCAUCUGCAUUACUCUGGUCACCCACCGAUCGUCGAAGCCUUUCCGAAGCAAACAUUCCCGAAGGAAGGUCCAGCUGACCGUGUCAUAAGCCUUGUCGAAGUCCAGUUUCAGGAAGACUGCCUUGAGGUGUUUGGAGUGCACCUCAUGGAGAGCUUCGUGGAACACUAGGACUCCAUCAAGGAUAUAGCGGCCCUGGAUGAAGGCCGACUGAUCAGGGUGAGUGAUCCGAUCAGCUAUAGGGGCCACCCUAAUGGCGUACCCCUUGGCUAGGAUGCGGAAGAUGACGUUAAUCAUUGUAACGGCCGGAAUUGCCGGAUGUCCGAGGCACCCGUCACCUUAGGGAUGAGAGUGAUUACCCCAUAGUUCAGCCGGCCGAGGUCAAUGGUCCCAGCCAUGAACUCGUCGAAUAGGGCCAUCACCUCGGGUUUGAUCACCUCCCAGAAGGUCUGGAAGAACUUCACUGGGAGGCCAUCCGGGCCUGGGGCCGAGGAGGGGUUCAUGCCCUUAAUAGCCGCCCAAACAUCCUCCUCCGAGAACGGGGCCGUGAGGGCCGCGUUAUCCGCAGACGAGACGCAGUAGUGGGCAGGCCAAAUAUCUUGCGCAAGGGCAAGACCUCCAUGAGGGAAGGCAGAGAAUAGGUCUCGGUAGAAGCCAUCAACAUGCGCCCGGAUGUCCUCCGGUCGCUGAAGAAGGGUCGGACCAUCCCAUAGGAGGGGGAUGGAAUUGCGGCGCCUACGGCCAUUAGCAAUAGCCUGGAAGUAGGUAGUAUUAGCGUCCCCCUUGAGGACCCAAUUCUGCGUACCUCGCAAGCGCUAGUAAGCCUCCUCGUAAGUGUAGAUGACCGUGAGCUGAUCUUCCAAGUCGUACCUAAGCAUCCACUCGUCUGCCGAAAGACCAGCGGUGUCAGCCCACAGGUCGAGGGCCUGGAUGCCCUCAAGGAGAGCCUUCUUCCGCUCGCGAAUGUCCCGACCCACGUUAGCGCCCCAUCCUUUCAUGAAUUGUCGCGACCGCUUGGCGCAGAAAUGCCAAGAAUCGACGGCCAACAGGGCCCUAUGGGGGGCGUCCCUCGCCUCACGCCACCUGGCGACCACCGCGACGGUGAAGCUUGGUUGGCGCAACCAGAACGUCUCGAAACGGAAGCGUGGUGGCAGAGGGGGGCGCUCAUUCUCCGAACAGAGGAGAAGGGGCACGUGGUCGGAACCAAUCCGCGUGAUUGCUCGUAGCGAUGCUAGGGGACACCUAAUGUCCCACUCAGGGGAGGCGAAAACUCGAUCGAGGACCGAGCGAGUCGGAUCAACUUGGCGGUUAGUCCACGUGAACCUGGCCCCGACACGAUCGAGUUCCCGCAGCCCCAUAUCAGCGAUGCAAUCAUUGAAUAAUUGCAUCCGAGGAAAGUUCACUAGAUUAUUGCUCUUGUCUUCUUCCGUCCGGAUGAGGUUGAAAUCGCCGCACACUACUACCGGAAACUGGGCCGAUGCAACCUUCCUUCGGAGCUCAGCGAGGAAGGUCUCCAACCUGCGGUGGUCGGCCGGACCAUAGACCGCAAUGAUCUCCCAUUUUAAAUUUAGGGACCUUUCGAAGAUCUCCAUGCUAACAAAGAACUCGCCCUGGUCCAUGCCCCCAACCUCAAGGGUGGCAUCCUUCACACCUAGGAGGAUGCCACCCGAGUGACCUGUACUCCCACUAGAAGGGAGCCAGUGCCAGGCGAACAGGUCGGAGCUCAGAUGCUCAAGCUCCGACAGGGAGAAUUCAGUAUGCAUCGUUUCUUGAAUGGCUACCAUGUCGAUUCGCUCGGUGCGCAUGUACUCAAUGAGUUGGCGGCGCCGACCAUCUUGGCCGAAACCGCGGAUGUUCCAGAAUAAGGCUCGCAUCACGCAUCCAUCGGGGGGCUGCUUGACCCCAAGACACGUGACGCGCUCUGGGCGCGGAGGGCGGCGGUACGGGAGCGAGUGCGGCCCCGGAUCUCAGCCGGGGCGGCCGACGCGCAGGAAGAGGCGCUCGGGGUGGUCCCAAGCGGUGCUCCAGCGGCGGGGGGAGGGCGUGCACGGGCCUCGGCGAGCCGACCAUCAAGGAUCUCCCGUGCACGGAUGGCUUCUAUCUGGACUAGCGAGGGGGCAACCUCCCCGCGGAAGACUAUGGCCGAGUCCGCUGCCACCUUAGCGAGGUGGCCAAGCGGAGCCGACUCCAAAGCAGAAAAGGAGCACGUAGCAGAGGUGGCCGGGAUGAUUAAGUACCUGACUCGAGGUUCCGGGCAGCGGCCCGGAGGGCGGCCAGCUCGGGGAUGGGAAGGGCCGGGCCACCCGUCGGCCUGGCCGCCUCAAUCCGAGCACUGCGGCGCGAAGAGGACACCGAGGACGAGGUCGAACGUCCCCUCCUGGAGUAGGCCGCGGUCCGAGGGGGAGGGGGGCCGGCCACUGGAGUGGUCACUACCACCGCCAGGCCCGCGGAAGUAGAGCUCGAAGGCGCCAGGAGAGGAGCAGGGGUCGUCACGCAGGGAACGCCAGGGGAGGGAGGAGGGUCCGCAUGUGCGUCAUCCCCCACGGGCGGACUGACCGGCCGAGCCGGAGAGCCAGGAGCGACCGCCGGAGGCACCGGAAGAGGCGAAGCCGGGUCCGGGGCCGAGACCCCCAGCAGCGCCAAGUGAAGGUCGAGCGCGGUGGGGGUCGGGUCGGGCAGCGCCGGGUUGGCCCUGGCUGGAGAGGAGGCGAAGAUGCCGAGGGAGAUGUCGUCGGGGGAGCGGGGCGAAGAAGCCGGAAAGACCUGGAGGCUGACAUCAGAAGCAUCGAGUCCGUCAUCGGUGGACAGGGGGGCCACCGCGUGGGUACGACCCGCCCCACCCCCACCCCUGGCGGCCGGCACAGGCGGCUAGGCGUGGUGGGGGCUGUCCUCGGAGUCGUCGUCGUCAUCGUCCGAGCCAGAGGGGUGGCCGUGACGAGGGUCGUGGUCGCUGCGGUGGCCACCGGCGCCACCCCCAUCUGGGCCGCCCCCUAGGAAGCUGUCGUCGAUGCGAGGGUGGCCAAUGUGGUUGGGGGGCUCGGGGGAGAUGUGGAGGUCAAAGCCCUGGUCGUUGAAGAACACUCGGAUGGUGGCACGGAGCUUGGAGGAGUCGAGAGAUUUGACCUUAACCCGGACCUCCUCCUCCUUACGGAGGGAGAGCUCAUCGACCACCACCACCUUGCCGAGGAUGCGAGACAUGUUCCGAAUGACCUGCUCCGAGCGGGCGAUGUCCGGGAGGCCACCAAUGAGGAUCCAGGCCGUGUCCAAGACCGCGACCGCCAAGGGGUCCCGCACCGGCACGGAGAUGUCCACCACUAACUUGUUGAGGGCUAGGGUGAUGUCUCCGCUGCGGGUGCCGUACCCAUGGCUGACCGCGUCCGGGAAGACGACCGAGAACUGACCUCCAGAGAGUAAGGUGACCUGCCAAUCCCAGGUGCAGAGGUAGAGGUGGUUGAGCUCGGCCUCAAUCAUCUCCGGCGAGGCCACCCCAUCCUUCACAGUAACAAUGGCCAGGAGCGAUGGUGAGGGGGCGGGGAUGUCGGGCACCUCGAUGUGGAAGUAGCCAAGGCCCUCGAUCCCGUGCCCGUACAUCAUCAGCUCCUCCGCCACCGGGCGGUCAGGGCAAAGGAAGGCGGGGUGGUCCGGGUCCGAGCAGUGGUAGCAACACUGAGGGCGAGUACAUGCCACCUGGGAGUGGCCGGAGAGGCCACAGUUAAAGCACUUGACGAGGUCGGAGGAGCGGUCGUCGGGGAGGAGAGUGGUCGUAGUUGAGGCGGCGAGAUCCCGGGGGCGCCGUUAGCCGGGGCAGAGCUGUUUGCGCGCCCAAGCCCGCGCUUCUUCCUGCGCUUGCCCUCGGGCCGGCCCCGUCCCGCCCCAUUGCCGACCGGGGGGAGACUCGGCUCGCUCCGAGGUGGCUGGUAGCGGCGGACCGCGGCGACAGCGGGAGGAGGGGCCUGCUGCCCAUGGGAGCGGCCAGGGGAACGAGCGUGGCCUCCCCGGGCCGGGGAGCGGCUGGCAUCCCGACGGGGCGGAGGGGGAGGCGACCGGCGACGAGCAUCGCGUUGGUCCGCGGCUGGGGAAGGCGAGCGGGAGCGGGAUCGGCCACGGCGGUCCGCGCGAGGGGAGAACGGCGAGAGGGGGACCGGUGGUCGUCGUAGGCGGGAGACCGGCGGUCGCCACGGGAGGAUAGCUAACGGCGGAGCUCGGACUCAUGGCGCACCGCGUCGGGGGACGGGCGGAAGGAGUCACGGCUCCUCCGCAUGGGAGGAUUCAGGGCGGCGGUCGUCGGCGCGCUGCUUGGGGCGCGUCCCCGCGUCGUGCCACUCGCGGGUCAUGGGGGCCGCGGCGAGUUCGGCGGUGACGAGGGAGGGAGCGAGGAGUUGGCGGCGGGGGUCGGAAGAGCGAGGGUUAGGGCACGGGAGGAAUGGGAUGGGGGCGAGGUAAGCCCGAAGGUAGCCAGAUAGGCCUGAUGGCCGGGCAGGCCGGCCCACCAAUACCGCAGCUAAAGCUGGGCCCAGAAGCGGAGCUGCCAGCCCAUGCCCAUGGCCCAAAUCUCGGCCCAGCACUAGGGCGGCCCACGACCAGGCGUCCCAGCCCGCGAGACGGGGCAGCAGCGGCUAGGGUAUCCCCUCGUGCUGCGACCACCGCCGCAGCCGCGACCGGCGCCGGUGCAGGGGCUCCAGUGUCCAUGGGGCAACGACGGGGGUGGCUGGGCGAAAAACGAAGCGAGGAGGUGUCAAAAGCUGCGAUGAACGGCCGAAACGGCGAGGAGCGGGUGACCACCGGCCGGGAUGACGCCGCCGGGGAGGAGGGAGGCCGAGAGCCAGAGGGGGCUGCCGCCGCGCGCCAAGAGGACCGGGCACGACCCAGAUCGGACCGCCCCGCGACGCCCCACGCCGGAGCGCCGCGGCGGCGAGCGGUACGCGAGCCAAGGUCGGCCCUUUGGUCAGGCUUCGGGAGGAGGGGGGGCGCUACCGGCCAGCGAGCAUGGGGUGGGGAGGGGGCUCCCCGUCUACGUCGACCAGCGUCGGGCGCAGCACAGUCCGGCGAGCCGGAGGUGUGCGCCGGACGGUGGGACGGCCAGCGGUGGAGUCCUCAUCCUCCGCCAAGUCGCCCAGCGCAGCGGCAUGGACUCCCCGACGGGGGCGGCGGAGCACGGGGCGAGCGGCCCAGCGGCCAGCGUCCGCGGGGCGUCGGGAGGCGGGGGGGCGGUAGAGCAGUCCGGGGCAGUGCAGGGCUGCGGAGGUGGCGGCGCAGGCGAGCAAGCCGCGGCCGGCGCGGCGCCGACGGGGUCGCGGGAGGAGAGCGCCAGGCGCGUGCGGUGCGGUUGCGCCGCCGCCUACUUCCCACCUUCCCGCGCGCAUAAAUCCCUGCGCCUCCCCUGUCUUGCCCGUCUUCCCCGAGGCCGGAAAUCAAUCCCGUCCCGGAGCAAUUCCGGCCGCCGCUUCUCCUGGCCUUGCCUCGAAAGGUUCGCCGACGCCAACCGUGUCUGCUCACCCACUCCCACGCGCUGCCUCUGGCUAGUCCUGUGCUGUUGCUGCCCUCUGCGGCGUUUGGUCGAACAGCUGGUGGGUCGGGUGUGGUCGUCCUCCCGGCGCCGCGGCUGGCGGGAUCCCGUGGCGUCUCGCGUUGGAUUCGAUGGCUGAGUAGUACGACGAAACCUGACUGAAGUAGAGUAGAGUAGUAGAUUGCGACGGAUUCCCGCAUCCAUCAUUCGAGGUAGUUGCCACAGACCCGGAGGCCCAUGUGCGCGACCAGAACGGAACAGCCAACUACCUCUACCUGCACGCGGCGUACCUCCCAUCUGCUUCCCGCCACCAUAAAUCCUUCUGCCUGUGCUGCCCCUCAGCUCCCUCCUCCCCUCCCGGAGCAAUUCCGCCCCCGCCUCGCCUCGCCUCGGAAGGUUCGCCCGUCGCUCACACAUGAAUGCACCCACUGCCACUCCCACGCACUGCCUCCUCUAGCAUUCUGCUCUCUGCGGAGUUUCGUCGAACAGCUGGUGGGUGUUGCCCCCGGCGCCGCGGAUCUGCCGCUCAGCCAGCGGGAUCCCGCGGUGUCUCGCGCCUCGUGUUUUGAGUUUUUUGGGUGGGAACGGGUUGCUGCUUGCUUGCUGCGUUUGAUCCGAAUUCGACCGAGAAAUGCCCCCCCUGUGGCGCGAGUUUUGCUUCGUAUUUGGCAGGUUGCUGCCUUGUCGUGUGUGUUUUGUCGGUUUGGGGCUCUGGCGCAAAUCCAUUUGGUCAGCCCAGGUCCAGGUGUUAAGGUCCUUUUUUAGUCGCUGCUAUAAACUGCUCUUUAGGGAUCUUGAUGCAAGCGCGGACUUAGUAUACUACUCUAGUUUUUACUGUGGAUUCGAAUCUUCUCUUGGAGGGGCGAACAUAGUUUAAACAUUCAAGUAGUUGGGCGAUUGUGGAAUGAAAUGUGCUCGUGCGUCAUGUUUGCUUGAGAUCCGGUCUUCUUCUCAGAUCUUCUCAACAACUUUAUAUCCUAUUGGUUUUGAGGAUCAGACAACUUGAUCCUGAUUUAGUCGCCAGAAGUAGUGAACUGAAUAUGCUGGUGCAUCGUGUUUGAGAUCAGGUGCAGUGUGCAGAUGCCAGCCUCCUUCUAUGGUAUACUUAUAGCCGGAUCAAGCAAUCUAAUCCCUUAGAUUAGAUUCUCGGAGUGUCCUGUUUUAGCAGUAUUCACAACAGUGAUUUGACACUAGGUUUGGGAAUGAAAUGUCACUUGGACCAAGUGCCUGGUCACUUUUGGGUGAAUUUGACAUGAAUAUGAACUUUAUGCUAGGUGUUUAUGCUUUUCUAGUUUUUGUCUAGUUAUCGUGUUGGAUGCUGGGCUUAUGCUUGACAUAUCAUAUCAACAUUUCUUUCAUUCUAUUCUGGUACUUUGAUGACUUGUAGGGUAGGGGGCUUACGAUUUAUGGUUUUCUGAAUAGUAGCUAUUACUGUGGUUAUCAUGGGCUAAUACCUGUUAAUUUUCAGGGGAAGUAAAUCAUGGCGACUGGUCAAAUUUUCUCGAAAACCACCCAAGCGCUAUUCUAUAAUUAUAAGCAACUUCCUAUCCAGCGGAUGCUUGAUUUUGACUUCCUCUGUGGUAUAUAUUCUCCCUAUCAUUGGUUUAAAAGGAUUGUAUAGUGUUUCUGUUUGGCUUCUUUCUUACUGAACUUGCACUGCCUGAUAGGGAGAGAAACACCUUCUGUUGCUGGAAUCAUCAAUCCUGGUUCUGAUGGGUUCCAGAAACUGUUUUUUGGACAAGAAGAAAUUGCUAUUCCAGUUCAUCCUACGUGAGCUCUCUGCUCCCUCAUUUAUCUUGUUUGAUUGAACAAGAGUGCGGUUCUUAUUUCAGAUGGAGGGAUAUUACAUUAGCAGUUUGCUAGCUCAAUAUUCAUGUGUGAACAAUUUAUCUAUUCAUGUAUAUUUUGUAGAAUUGAAGCUGCUUGCAAUGCACACCCAACUGCGGAUGUGUUUAUCAACUUUGCAUCCUUCCGGAGGUUAGUUAUAGCAUUGAUAAUCUGUCUGAGAAAUACUGCAUGAUCUUGAGCAACUACAAUUUCACUGUAUUUUCUAAAUCUGCAGUGCGGCUGCUUCUUCAAUGUCAGCUUUGAAGCAGCCAACUCUCCGAGUUGUAGCCAUUAUAGCAGAGGGAGUUCCUGAAUCAGACGCAAAGCAGCUAAUUAGUUAUGCACGUGCUAACAACAAGGUAUGGAUUAUAUUUUACAUGGAAUUACUGCUUUUAAGUUUGGGUGUGAUCACCGGUUCUCAUCAUAAAGUGCUUAGAGUAAGAGAAUUUCAUACUCCCUCCGUCCCAAAAUAAGCGACUCAACUUUGUACUACCUUUAGUACAAAGUUAGUACUCCUUAUAGAUACAUAUUUUGGGAUGGAGGGGGUAUUAAUUAGUGAAGGAGUAUAUCCUUAUAGAUACAUUUGUAAACUAAAUGAUGGCUUGUGAGCUUGAGAGCAUUUGCUUUUUCUGGUAAUGCAGGCUGACAGUGGCCUGCAUAUUUAUUGUUUAUUUUUGCUAAGUGAUUUAGUGUUAUUUGUAGGUCAUCAUUGGACCUGCAACAGUUGGAGGAGUUCAGGCUGGUGCUUUCAAGAUUGGUGAUACUGCUGGAACCAUUGAUAACAUAAUUCAAUGCAAGCUGUACAGGCCCGGAUCAGUUGGUUUUGUGUCUAAAUCGGUAUGCUUCAAUUCGUUGUUAAUAAACUUACUUCCUUCAUCACAUGUAUUUCUGUAUGAUUCAUGUCCAUAAAUAAAGUAACAGAAUAAAAAGAACGGUCCAUUGUUUCUGUAAAGACAACUUUUUGUUUACAUAUGGGGAGCGAACUUUAGAACAGCAUUAUGAUGCUUCAGCUUUUAUCUUUUUAUUUGGAAAAAUGUGGAGAGCUCCUGACUUUCCCUUUGUUUUCAUUCCAGAACUCCACUUCUUUAAUUUGACGACUGAUUAGUAUAUAUUCUCAGCUGUAUAUUUUGAAUACUCAUUACAAACUGAACUUCCAUUACUUCAAUAGGGUGGCAUGUCAAAUGAGCUGUACAACACCAUUGCAAGAGUGACUGAUGGUAUUUAUGAAGGUACCUUGUUUGUGAAUAAAUGUAAAUGUCACAUUCACUGAUUCACAUGAAUAAUGCUCCCAUGCUAACUUUUUCUUAACACAUUCAGGAAUUGCAAUUGGGGGAGAUGUUUUCCCUGGCUCAACUCUUUCAGAUCACAUUCUGCGUUUUAAUAACAUACCUCAGGUUUGACACUUAACAUCUCUAUAUAGAAAUAGAUAGUGUUAACCUUCUUGCUGUAGUGUAUGAAUAUUCAUCAUCUUUGUCACACAAGUGUCCUGCGAUUAUAUUUUUCUUCUCUGGCAUGAUUGGACACCCACAGGAUGUCACUGUUACAUGUUCGUUUGUCACAUCCUUUUUGUCUUCUAACUUUCGGAGGCUACUCCUUUACGAUAACUUUGGGCUAUCCCAUUUAAAUUUCUGGGACAAUGUUUGUUUGGCGCACAAGUACGCUUUCAUGAUAAUUCCAUUCCUCCAUUACUUGUAACCCAAGUCUGGAUUCUGAUCACUGGUGUAUCAACAUCUCAUUUGUUGGCUUUAGGUUAAAAUGAUGGUUGUUCUUGGGGAGCUUGGAGGAAGUGAUGAGUAUUCGCUCGUCGAGGCCUUGAAACAAGGAAAGGUUCAGAAACCUGUUGUUGCUUGGGUUAGUGGGACAUGCGCACGUCUAUUCAAAUCUGAGGUCCAGUUUGGCCAUGCUGUAAGUUGUAAACAAAUUGGUGCUCUUUUCCGGUGAGCUGAACAAUACACUCAGUAUGCACAGAUGCAGUUUAUUUAUUAAUUUUGAUAUUAUAACAGGGUGCGAAGAGCGGUGGUGAGUUGGAAUCCGCACAAUCUAAGAAUCAGGCACUAAGGGAUGCUGGGGCAGUUGUCCCUACUUCAUUUGAAGCUCUUGAAAGUGUGAUCAAGGAGACAUUCGAGAAGCUGGUACCUCACGACUGAUGUUUUUUGCAAGUAUUUUUUGGGGAAUGUUUAGUGGGAACCAAAGCUUGGGGUUAUAUAUAUUUUUUGCAGGUUGAGGAAGGAAAUAUUCCUCCUGUCCCUGAGGUUACACCUCCCCCCAUUCCUGAGGAUCUUAACACUGCCAUCAAAAGUGGGAAGGUCCGAGCUCCCACGCACAUUAUCUCCACUAUCUCCGAUGAUAGAGGUCAGAUUGGUGUCAACAUGUUAUCCUACAUAUGCUUGAUAAUUGUCCUUUGCCCUGCUUUCUCUCCCCGAAAAUAAUAAAUGUGCAUAUGUAUGAUGCAGGUGAGGAACCUUGCUACGCUGGUGUGCCCAUGUCUACUAUUAUUGAAAGGGGUUAUGGAGUUGGUGAUGUUAUUUCUCUUUUGUGGUUCAAGCGUAGCCUUCCUCGUUAUUGUACUCAAUUUAUUGAGGUAAUUUGUGGGUUAAAUGUAACAUGGAUAGUCUAUCUUCCCUACAAAAGCUCUAACAUGCUGUGAUAAUUUCCCCCUUCUAUAUCUAGAGAUUCACUUGGUCCUAAUAAGGUUUCUUCGUAUGUCUGACAGAUAUGCGUGAUGCUUUGCGCUGAUCAUGGUCCUUGUGUAUCCGGUGCUCACAAUUCUAUAGUUACUGCUAGGGCUGGAAAGGACCUUGUUUCCAGCCUGGUAUCUGGUGAGCUUGUUUAAUUGAUGCAUGCGAACCUGUACCAUUAUGUACAUAACAGCAUUCUGAGACUUAUGGUUGGAAUAACACAGGAUUGUUGACAAUUGGCCCCCGAUUUGGUGGUGCAAUUGAUGACGCCGCUCGGUACUUCAAAGAUGCAUAUGAUAGGGUGGGCCAUCUUAUUUCAUAUCCCUUUAUUUUUAUUCUCAGCUCUGGUUUUCAUUUGUUUCUUAAUUGAUCUUAUAAACUACAUCAAUUGAUUCUAGGGUCUUAUGCCUUAUGAAUUUGUUGAGGGCAUGAAAAAGAAGGGAAUCCGUGUCCCUGGGAUUGGUCACAGGUAUAAUACCCCCUUGGCAUCGUAAUAAACUUGCACCUGAAAAUGGACUUAAGACAUAAGUUGAUUGUUUUUAAUGUACAAGCUCUGAGUUAUGCUGUUGUCUUUUCUGAAAUUUCACUUGCAUGUCGUUAUUAGGAUCAAAAGCAGAGACAACAGGGACAAGCGAGUGCAGCUUUUACAGAAAUAUGCUCACGCACACUUCCCUUCAGUCAAGUACAUGGAGUACGCUGUUCAGGUUGAGACCUACACCCUGUCAAAGGCCAACAAUUUGGUUAUGAAUGUUGACGGCGCAAUCGGCUCGCUUUUCUUGGAUCUUCUUUCUGGGAGUGGAAUGUUCAGCAAGCAAGAGAUCGACGAGAUUAUAGAGAUUGGGUAUCUUAAUGGACUCUUUGUGCUUGCACGUUCAAUUGGCCUAAUUGGGUAAGUCUCGCUCUUUUACAAUGAUAAAUGUAGCUAAGUACUCCCUCCGUCCCAAAUUACUUGUCGCUCAAAUGGAUGCAUCUAGCACUAUUUUAGUGCGUGCUAGAUAUAUUCAUUUGAGUGACAAGUAAUUCCGGACGGAGAUACUACCUCCGUCCUGGUUUAAUGGUCCCGUUCGUAUUUUGUGCCAAAUUUUCACCUUAGAUUUAACUAUGAAAAUGCUAAUGCAUGUCACCAAAAAUAGCAUCAUUGAAAACUAUGUACAAAUAUGAAUCCAAGGAUAUAAUUUUUGGUCACAUGCAUUCAUAUCUUAUUAGUUAAAUCUUUGGUCAAAGUUUUACACAAAAUACAAAGGGGACCAAUAAACCAGGAUGGAGGUAGUAGUACAUUAUUGUUACCCUAGUUACAUUUUAUUUUUUUUCCACAUUUCCAAUCUGCUUCUUGGAUUCACAGGCACACCUUUGACCAGAAGAGGCUCAAGCAACCACUGUACCGUCACCCUUGGGAGGAUGUCCUCUACACCAAAUGAGGCAGCAUAUUGGUCUUCCACCUGUGUGUACACCAUAAAAAUAAAAUCGGGCAUAACUGCAUAGAAUUCAAAAUUCUUACUGUUGAUGGAACUAGGCGAGGAGGGAUACAAGACCGUUACAGAUGAAAGUUUGUUUCAUUUUUUUUUAUUCGACCAUGAAAGCAUUAGGGCAUGAGAUAUUGGAUACUUGAUAGUUGUUUCAAGUUAUCAUCAAUUAAGUGGCUGUCAAAUUUAGUUCAGACAUCUGGGGAAAAUUGUAAUGAUUGUGAUUCUAGUUCCCCAUCACAAAACUCUGAAUUAUCUACAUUAUCAAUUUUAUGGAAAUCAAAUAUGCACGUGUUGCUGCUUCGAGCUCUAGUCGAUUGAUCGAUCCCAAACUUAUUGGCAUGUGCUUCCCGUCAUCGCUACAGUAUACUCUCUCUGUUCAUUCUUAUAAAAUGUUUUGGAUAUUUCAAUAUAGACUGCAUACGGAUUGGAACGAGUGAACGCACACACUAGAAUGCGUCUAUAUACAUUCAAUUCAGAACAUCUUAUAACAGUGCACGGAGUGAGUGCCAUAUAAUGGUAUCCAUUUAAAAUCUUUUAUGUGUUUGAUAUGUCUAUCUUCUGUUGAUUCACAGCACCAGCCACUGUCCCUGCCAGGCUGCACUAGAAGCAUACAUGUGCUUUGAUGCGCUGUUUUCUCCUUUAAUCGUUGUGUUUGUUGUAUUAUAUAUUGUUCAAUAAAUUAAAUAUCUUAAUAACAUGAUAACAUACCGAAAAGAAAAUGGUAUGCAGGAAGGCCCAGUUUCGUGAUGCAAUUUAUCUGUUUUAACCUUAUGACAUGUCUAUUUUGAUUUCUGUCACAACUUAUACCAUGCCUUAGUUGUUCCUGGUGUGGUGACUUGGAAGGCCCAGCUUCAAUUUAUUGUUGAGAUCUUGAUCUUUGCUAGGGAUAUAUUCCUUCCGUCUCAAAUAAGUGACGUUGAUUUAGUAUAUUUUGUACUAACUUUGUACUAAAUCAGCGACACUUAUUUGAGAUGGAUACUUUGUAUUAACUUUGUACUAAAUCAGCGACACUUAUUUAAUACAAAUGGAGUAUAUGGCAGUACUAAAUGCAUACCCAACAACCCUUCACUCCUCGUGCUUCCGGCCAUAUUUUGUCACGCAUUAACACACCUCAAGCUAAGUCAGUGUUUGGUUUUAAUCACAAAUUGACAACACUUUUUUUACCCGCAAAAGGAAAAACUAUAGCAAGGCUAGCUUACAACCCCCUAUGAAGUUUUUUAGCUCGGCCAUGUCAUAUGUUUGCAUUGUUUGCUUUUAGGUCGCUUUUUUCUUUGCGGAAUUUGCAUUGUUUGCUUUUAGGUCGCUGGCCAGAUGUACCGCGUGGUUAAACACACCCUAAUUAAGACAUGAUCAUACUCCCUCCUUUUUCACUUACUCGGCAUAUUAGCUUUGUCUGAAGUGAAUAUAAACUUUGACAAAAUUUAUAAAGAAAAAUAUUAACAUAGACAAUACCAAAUCAAUACCAUUACAUACAUCAUUGAAUAUAAUUUCACAUCAUACAAUUUUUUUAUUGUAAAUGUUCAUAUUGUUUCUGUAAAUUUGACCAAACUUUAUAAGGAAUGACUUCGGUCAAAUUUAAUACACGGACUAAAUAAAAACGAAGUGAGUACCUGUGAUGAGCUCUUUUUUCUGUCUCUUCUGCUGAUCUCUGGGAUUCAUCAUAAUAUAAGAGCAUUUUUUACAUUAAUAUAGUGUUGAAAACCUUUUUGUAUUGUGACACGAAGAGAGUACUUACGAAAAGGAAAACCAUUAUAAUGAGGAAAAAUAUCGUACUGUGCAUGCAUGCGACGGGGCGAGCAGCCUGUGUCCUUGUCGCUGCACCAUUCACUCCUCGUGCUUUGCUUUCAGAUGAUCGGAUCCAGCACCCAAAUGAUGCGAAAAGGGAAAGGCGUCGUCUGGGCCUACUGCAUGAAUCUAUUUUCUUUCUCACACGAAGCAGACUGUUGGUACUCGUAGAGAAGAGAGUCCAUUGGCCCACCGGUUGCUGCCGUACGCAUUUGCCAUGAAGCGCCGUCGUUUCCAGAUGCCAUCUCACCGGAUAAGAAGCAAACGCUCUUCAUCAUUCUUCCUCAUUAUUUGCAAGCUUGCCAACACCAACCGAUCCGACAAAUGCCCUGUUAGGAGCAUCUCCAGUCGAGUCAGGCGCCUCGGACCGGCCCAAAGGCCCGACCGGCGGAUCAUCACUGACCGGUCAAAACAAGCUCAUUGAAGAAUUGUUCGUGGAGUUACAAUGAUGUUGGAACCAGAAACUUUGCGGUAGCUGAUGGCAUGUUAUGUCAUUUUGCAUAAUAUGAUUGUCGAGGAUAAGGGUGAUGCAAAUUUGGGGAUGUAAAACUAGGUAUUGUAUAAUAUACAUCAUCAAAAAGUGUCCAGAUCAAGUCUGUUAUUCAGGCUAUUCCCGUUUAUGCAAUGGGUAUCUUUAAAUUUCCUGCUUCAUUAUGUGAUGAGUUAUACCAGAUUAUCAGGAAUUUUUGAUGGGGCGAUGAGGAGAAUAGAAAGAGAACUUAUUGGGUGUCUUGGGAUAAGAUGACGAGACCAAAAAGUGAAGGGGGCAUGGGCUUUCGUGACCUCAGAAUUUUUAGUCAGACGCUUUUGGCUAAACAAGCUUGACGUUUAUUGGUUUUUACGGACUCUUUGUGUGCAAAGGUGAUGAAAGCUAAAUAUUAUCCUUAUGGGCAUCUUAUAGAUACGGUUUUUCCUCAAGCAACAUCCCUUACGUGGCAAGGAAUUAUGCAUGGACUCGAUCUGCUAAAAAAAGGCAUCAUAUGAAGAGUGGUCGAUGGUUCUAGUAUAAACAUUUGGAGGGAUAAUUGGAUCCCUAGGGAUUCUGGCCUACGAAUAUCUGCUAAAAAGAAUAGAAUUAGGAUCAAAUGGGUGUCCGGGUUAUUCAUGAGUGGGUCUAGGAGUUGGGAUAAGAACCUGAUCAGGCAUCUUUUCUAUAUUCAUGAUGCAGAGGAAAUUCUAAAGUUGCGUAUUCUCAGGUUGAAUGAAGGUGAUGUUAUUGCUUGGCAUUAUGAGAAAAGUGGUUUGUUCUCUGUGAAAAGUGCGUAUAGGCUGGCACUGAAUCUACAGGAAUCAAAGGUUGAUCCAGGUAACUCUAGUGGUGCCAAGAAUGAGGAAAGGAGGCUCUGGAAUAUAAUUUGGAAGGCUAACGUCCCCCAGAAAAUUAGAAUAUUUGCAUGGAGGGCUGCUUCUAAUAGUUUGGCAGUUCAAGUUAACAGGGUUAAACACCAUCAAGCUAUUCUAGGUACGUGCUCGAUUUGUGGUAUUGAAGAUGAAUGUAUUUUUCACGCAUUGGUGAGUUGCCCCAAGGCUCGGACGUUUCGUAUGGCUUUGAAGGAAGUGUGGAAUUUACCGGCUGAAGAGACCUUCAAAUUUUCUGGGCCCGACUGGUUUCUUAUUUUAUUGGGUCACUUAAAUCCGACGGUGCGUGAGCAAACGUUAUUCAUGUUCUGGAGAGCUUGACAUUUGAGGAAUGAUUUGAUCUUUGGAAAGGGAAAGGAAUCCAUCUCGGCCUCUGUGAGCUUUGUAGAAAAUUACUGGGCAUCUUUCUCGUCUUGUCAUGCAAACAUGCAGGUGGAGAUGUGCAACAAAGGUAAGCAAGUGGUGGGGGAAGUUCAGCCAACCACCAUUAUGGAGAGGAAUUCUAUCUCUUGGAAGCCUCCCAACUCAGAGUUCUUCAAUAUUAAUGUCGAUGCAAGUUUUGUGGAGGCCGUUAAAGUUGUGAGUGUGGGGGUGAUUGUCGGAAACCAUUGUGGACAAGUUAUUAUUUCAUCGUGGGAUUAUAUUGGAGCUUACUAUAGUGCUGAGGAAGCGGAACUUAGGGCGGCUCUAUCGGGCUUGUAUAUCGGUAUCACUCUUGACAUGCCCAUCAUUUUGGAAACUGAUUCUUCUUCUGUGGCUUCUGUUUUUGCAAGAGAUUGCUUUGACAGGUCGCCCCUUGUCGACCUAAAGAAGGAGCCGGUCAAUGCCUCGAAGCUAUUGGUGAAGUUUCAGAUAUCCAAGACCAAUAGGAGGGCUAAUUUGGUGGCUCAUGAGAUUGCUAAGUUCAGUUUUGAUAAUAGGUCUGAUGGAAUUGUUUUUAAUUCUGUUCCAUCCUGUGUGGCUAAUUUUGUAAUGAAUGAUUGUAUGAAUUUAAGUUAACUAAUACAUGGUGGGUUUAAAAAGAUGCAUUUUACAUCUUUAAAAAAGAGUCAACUCCAACAGAUGAUGUAUAUUGAUGAUGUAAAAGUCCAACUACAAUAGAUGAUGCGUAUUGAAGAUGUAAAACCGGCCGACGACCACGCGGCUGUGUACAACCACUGUACAGCCGCAGUUGAACAUAAAAGAGCAAUACUUUUUAGAUUUCUACAACCAAAAGUGCAUCAUAUCAAUCAAAGUUUGAAAUCCUACAACCAAAAGUGCAUCAUCUUAAACAAAAGUUCUUGGUCCAACAAAUUAAAAUGCACAUAAACAUAACAUCGAACAUAUCACUCAAUUUUCGUCCUCUCUGUUGUGACUUGUCACAUUGUGAGCGGUGGCAUCAUCAUCAUCAAUGGCUUCUUUGUCGACGUUUUCGUGUGUUGAAGUCUCGAUGUUGCGACCUCCACAGGAAGCACCUUCAUUGCCACCUCCCAUGUCGCUCAUGUUGUCACCAAAGCCAGCCCCAUGCCACUCAUGUUGCCGUCUAAGCCACCACUCAUGCCGCUCAUGUUCCACCAAAGCCACCGCCCAUGUCACCGAAGUCACCAUCGAUGUUGCCAUUAAAUGCAUCAUUCAUGGCACCUCCCAUCAUGUUCAUGUAGCACUUCCCAUUCCUCCUCCCGUCAUAAUUAACCUCACAUUCUAUUCUUAUCAGAAAUUAAAAGAACAAACACGAGGAAAAAUAUUUUUUUUUACCUUUGCGACAUUUCGUCAAGCACGUUGGAGGCGGUAGCCGUGGGCGUGGCCGCGUCUCCCUCCAUGGUCGGCGGCGACGACAGAGGUGGAAGAGGAGUUCCUUGACCGGAUGCAGCUGUCACGGCCGCUGGCGGCAGCGAAUCGGUCAAAGCAACUGCGGCUGGCUUCGCCUUUUUGCUCGCCCAUGGAUUCGUCGCCGCACCCCGCCGGCUUCUUCGCCGGGGGCGCAACUGUGACCGGCCAAUUGGGACAAAGCCGGGACGGCGGCAUGAAGGCGGAGGCGGGACCGAAGAAGGUGGUUGGGGCUGCGGCAGAGGAGGCGGCUGGGUCAUCGAAGUCGGCCAUGGCCCAGGCGGGUGGGCGGAAGGAAGGAAAAUGAAGGCAGUUGGUUGGGCGGUGGGUGCGCGACCGACUGUUUUACAUCACAUGGAGAUGAAGAUGCAAAUUUUGCAUCUUCGAAUGUUGUAUUUUACAUCUCUUGCAAAAGAUGAUGUCAGUAUUUUGGCAUCUACAUCAUCUGUUGAAGGUGGAUUUUUUGCCUCAAAGUUGCAGAAGUUCGUUAUUUUUUCCAUCUACCUCGUCUAUGAAGAUGCUCCUAGCGCGGACUACGACAUGGAACCGGGACAAGAGCUUGCUUUGCUGGUGUACGGCUGAGAUAGAAGCAAGGUGACGGUUUGUUAAAUCUGUCCGAACCUACCACUCUUCUUUUUUUCUGAGAGUACGCUUAGGUGUACCAUACCAUUAUAGAAAGCAGAAUUUCAGUUAUAAGAAAGAGAAAAGUAUAUUUUUCAUCCCUCAAUUCUUGGUGAAGUCUAGAUUUAGUCCCUCAACUAUAAAACCGGACAAGUUUAGUCCCUUGUCUCUGCUGACCCAGUAUAGGUGCCGACUCAGCGUGUUUUUGACCUGUCUUUCAUUCACAGCGCUAUUUUUCUCUCCUAUGUUGCUCUUGUUCCUCCUUACUACCCGGGCAUUCCAUCGAACAUUUGGCGCGCGCCUGCUCCCAUGCUCAAGGCCGUCGAUAUGGUCUCGUAUGGCUCCCGACACUUAUACUGCUAGCCGGAACCGUGCCACAAUGCUUCGAAAUCCACGUCACCAGCAUAACCGUUGCCGCUCUCGGUGCUCCAUCUGGACAGUCUCGCCGCUGCUAGCUAGUCGCCCUCUUGUCGCUGGUCCGCACAUUGUCGUGGGGCCUUGUCUUACUCCAGCAAACGCGUCGGCAGACUCACGGUCCUGCGUUAUGUACUCGAGUACAUUGCACGGAACGUCGGCGACAAUGACCGUGACCAUGCCGCUUUCGUCACCGUCUGUAGGCUGCAGCGCCGCGCGUCGAGCGCUACUGGCGCACGGCUCAAUCGCCACUCCCUUUAACAUGAACAUGGACGAUACGUUUUUUUGGGCAUGCAUCAACUCGUGCAACUGGUAACAUGCGUACGUGUGUUGUGGCCAGAAUGGAUCGAAGCGAUAAAGGUCCUUUACGUGCGUGUCUAUGGCGGAUGGGUGAAUCAAUCAGCUAGAGCCUAGAGGUGAGCAAUCAUCCAGAGCAAAGCACGACCGAGCCUGGUUGGUGAGCACCAGCACGCGUCGUCGAUGACCGUGCCAUGCUCGCUCAAGCCAUGCUCACCGUACUUGGCACGCCUGCUUGUGUAGCCUCCAUGCUUGGCGCUGUCGCGCCAACUGCGCCCCGCCGUGGCCAAUCUGUGCACGCAACCGCCAUCUAUUGUCUUGCUAGCCACCAUGCCGUUGGCUGGAGUGAAUUGCAAAAAACAUCAACAUUGAAAGCUAAAUUUGCAGGAAUCACAAUUCUACAGUUUUGUGCCCAAAACCAUUAAUUCUGAGGCUAAUUUUUUAAAAAACACUAGUCGCCGGCUUAGGACAUUUUGAGCACGAUUAUGACAGGAGGUCCCGCUGGACAGGGCGACAUGGCACAGUAUAACAGAUCACAAAUAGAAAAAAUAGUAUGGACUAAAUUGUAAAAGGAUCAAAGAGGAUAAGGUUCGUGCAGUAAAGAAAAAGGACAAAAUCUGGCAUCGUCUUCCUGCUGCCCAGCCGCCAAGCUCGGCCCCGGCGUGCACAUCCGGUUUGUUCCCGGCGUCCAGCCGCGCCUCCGACGUCCACCGGCGAGUACCCGGACCGUCGCUGCCUCCAAGUCCUUCGCCGCCCGCCGCUACCUCCAAGUCCUUCGCCGCGGACCUGUCGCUGCGCGCCGCCGCCCCGCAAGUUCCGCGGUGGCUGCGUGUUGACCAUGGAGUUCAACGCCUCCGCGCGCAAAAGCUCGUCGGUGCCAAGUUCUUCCGCAAGGAGCUCGUUUCCUCCUCCUCCUCGCUCCCUGGCGUCAGCGCCGGCUCCCACUCCCCGCUCCUUGGCCCGCGUUGGCGUGGUGACUGGUGAGGGAGGGCGCCACGCCGCGGCCGGAGCUCAAGCCGCCGCCGCCCUUGCUGCUCACCUGCAUUGGCGCCGGCGAGGUGACGGGGAGGCACACCGGAUGGAGCAGCCGUUGCGCCGGCCACGUAGGGGCGCGAGUAGCUAUGCCCGCCGCACGGGCGCGAGCAGCAGUGGCGUCGGCGACGCUCAACGCCCAUCCCGACCUCACGCCACGUUUCCCCCGGCUCUCAAUGGUGGCAGCCCGGAGAGGGAGUGGCCGGCGGCGUCCACCACCGGACCAGCGGGAGACGUUGGUCACGGAGGACCUGGUUGCUUUUUUUUGCAGGGGUUCUUUUGCAAAUCACGAAUGUAUCAGGGUGUAAGUAGCCUUUUUCUUUGCCACGUCGCCCUGUCAAGUGGGACCCCGCUGUCAUAAUCGUGCUCAAAACCUCCUAAGCCGAUGACUAAUGUUUUUACAAAAAAUUAGCCUAAGAAUUAGUGGUUUUCGGCACAAAACUGUAGAAUUGUGAUUCCUACAAACCUAGCCUUCAAUGUCGAUGUUUUUUGCAAUUCACUCCCGUUGGCUGCUCCCCUGAAUGCCAGAGCGCCGAGCCUACCAACUCAACGCUGCCGUGGUCUCGCCGUAGCUCACGCGCCGCCACAGACGGUCCAUACCACGAGGUGCCCCAGGCCAGCAAACUGGUCACAAAGGCAACGAGCAAGUCAGUAGCGGUGAUCUCCCAUCUCCUGGGGCCGCGCUCACGCUGUUGAGAUCACCACUGCCGAUAGCUUGCUCCUCCUUGCGCUCCCUGCCUGCACACGCUGCAUGAGAGAGCGGUGGAGUAGAGAGAGAGGAACCGGGACAGGUCAAUUUUGGGGUCUUCUUUGCCACGUUGGCAUGGACCGGUUAAAACCGGGGACCGGUCAAAAUCAAGAUUAGGGACGAGACUUGUCCGGUUACAAGAGUUAUCCAGUUUCCUAAUUGAGGGAUUAAAUCUAAACUUCACCCAGACUUGAGGGAUGAAAAGUAUACUUUUCUCUAUAAGAAACUACACUCGCUAUGAACAACCAGAAUAGACAAACAUCAUACGAAAGACAAACAACACGGCCAAGCAACCUACAACGCGGAAGAGCCUAUCCAAUCUGGAACACAACAUCGCGCCGAAGAACCUGCCACUCUCACUACGACAGCUCCGUUGAGGCCUCACACCGAACAGCACACGGUGGGUGCGUAGUUGCGUGCGUGGAUGGAAUAUGCUUACCCGGCCCAAAGAUUUCGUUCAGUCGUUCCCCAAGACAAAUGGAACAGCUCACGCUACUCAUGGCAGCGACCGUACUGCAGCAUGUGAUGUGCUACUGCAGAGGAUCCUAACCCCUGCAUACGGGCAGGUUGCGUGCGUGGAGCCAGCAGCCACCGGCCGCAUACCUUCCCCCAAUAAAUCCGCCACGACGGCACGCAGGCGAAAAAUCUGGAGUUUUGCUUCUCCUAGUCGUCGCCUCGUCGGAGCCCAGCAAGACUGCUGGAGUAGUGGCUAGCGGCCGGCGCGCAGAGAGAGCGAGAGAGAGACAGAGGAGAGAGAGAGGGGAUGGGGACGGAGCCGACGAUGCUGCAGCGGUGGUCGUCGUCGAUGUGGGGGAUGAGCGGCGGCGACCGGCUGCGGCUGUGGGAGGACAAGGCGUGGCGGGCGCACGCGGCCAUGGCCUUCACGCAGCUCGCCUACGGCGGCUACCACGUCCUCACCAAGUCCGUCCUCAACGUCGGCAUGAACCAGAUCGUCUUCUGCGUCUACCGCGACCUCGUCGCGCUCGCCCUCCUCGCCCCCGCCGCCUACUUCCGAGAGAGGUACGUCGUGCUAGGCGCCUCACCCCAUGGCUGCUCUGCUCUGAUCUGGACGAAUUGACAUCGAAUUUGACUUGAUACUCUUCGGCUGCGGAUUCUGAAUAUCCCGCAGGAGGGUGCGGCGCCCCGUCACCCCGCAGCUGCUCGGCUCCUUCGCGCUCCUUGGAUUCACCGGGUAAUUUUCCCCCUCGUCCUCAUGCUGCUGCUGAUGCCUGAUGGAGCAAUAAGAGUCACAUUCUGACGGCGUGCAGGAUCUUCGGGAACCAGCUCCUCUUCCUGCUCGGCCUCGGCUUCACCAACGCCUCCUACGCCGCCGCGUUCCAGCCCGCCAUACCCGUCUUCACCUUCCUCCUCGCCGCAAUCGUCGGGUGAGCACUGAGCAAUCAACCAAUCAAUCAACGGAUGCACAUACACGUUUCAGAGUUCUGACAUCGCCUUGGAUGCAAAAUGCCAAACUGAACCGUAACAAACCCCGAAAUGUCCCAUUGCCGCGGAUACACUUCUGGAUUCUGAUCAAAUGCUGAACCAAAAUGUUCUUAUUCCAGUGUCGAAGUCAUCCACGUCUUCACCAGAGACGGCGUCUUCAAGGUCGUCGGCACGGCCGUGUGCGUCUUCGGCGCCCUCCUCAUGGUCUUCUACCGAGGCCCCUCCCUGAUCGGCCUCGGAGGCGCCAAUGCGCUGGCCGGCGCCGACGCGUCAUGGAGCGGCAGUUCCUAUCCUGCUCAGUGGCUGACGCCAGCCGUGCUCCAGUUCAGUUUUGGAACCUGGAACCUUGGUGUCCUGUGCCUCUUAGGCAACUGCUUCCUCAUGGGGGCUUAUCUUGUCAUACAGGUAAUGCGGAAUGGGAUUUGUUUUUAGCUUCAUGAUAGUUUUUUGCUCUUAAUGAGAAUUACAUAUAUCUGAAUUUGUGUCCUUUUCUGCUGUGACUGAUUCCAGGCCCCGGUGUUAGUAAAAUAUCCUGCGAGCUUAUCCUUGACAGCCUACUCUUACUCAUUUGCCACCAUCUUCAUGGUGUUGACUGGGGUUUUUGCAACCAACGGGCUCCAUGAGUGGGCGCUGACAGGGACAGAAAUCAUAGCCGUUCUAUAUGCUGUGAGUAUCUGAACAAUAAUCUAUGGCCGCCCUUUAUGAUUACAUUAGAACUUGUAUGACCAUGCUAUGAUGUGCUAACCUCUCCGAGCUUGUUCUAACCACAUUUCUUGCUUGCACCAACAGGGAGUUGUUGCGUCUUGUCUCAACUACGCAAUCAUGACUUGGGCGAACAAAAUUCUUGGACCAUCUCUGGUCGCCCUCUACAAUCCGCUCCAACCAGCAUGCUCUACCAUCCUCUCAACUAUUUUUCUUGGUACCCCAAUCUAUCUAGGAAGGUAUGGACCAACCAACACUCUACCCUAUGUGUUAUUUGAAUUAUUUGAACAUUGUCACAUCAUGAGUUGUCAAGUUUCGGGUCAUUCGAAUUGGUCAUUUUGCAUUGUGUUUAUCGGUUGAGCUUGGUGCUCUUUCAAGCAAAAUGAUAUGAUAUAAUGGCAAUGGUGCUUGGCGUAAACUGGUGGUGUUUUCCAUGUAUACCAUUACUGAAAUUUGACUUUUCUUGGUUAGUUUGCCUCACUUAUAGGCUACAGAAUUCCCACGAAUUUAUGCAGAACUAAAUACCCACCUUGUGCACUACCUGCAGCCUCAUUGGAGGAGUCUUCAUCAUUGCUGGUCUAUACCUGGUUACUUGGGCCCGUUACAAUGAGGCGCAGAGAAUACUGAUGUCUGGUUAUCUGAAUCCUCUUCUUGUGGAGGUGGAGGAUGCGCCAGCUCCCAAGAGACAGGAAAAUUCCAGCUCAAUUGAUCCCUGAUACUCAGACGAAGACUCCACUGUGUUUUUUUUCCAGAACAGCAGCAGCAGAAUUACGUUGUAUAUUAGUAUCAGAAAGCUUGUAGUUACCUUCUCUACCAUUGGAUUAAGUUGCAUCAUUAAGGCUCAUACCCAAAUACCCUCGACAUAAGCUGGAAUGGAAAUGUGUCGCAAUUAUCGUUCUCCUAGCAGCCGCGGAAGAUGCUACUGGCACUGGCUAACAAUGUGCAAUGAUAGUUCAGUUUCAGCAGUUGUCUUCACGGGUCAAGGAACAGCUUCAGUGAUCAAAGGUAAUUACUUCAUCCAACCCAACUUGUUAAUAGUUCAUUAGUUAUCAUCGUAAUUGCUUAAUUGGCAUAUGGCUGCCAUGAUUGCUGCUGUUAACUUGCAUUUCAUCUUCUGCUUCAGCAGCCUCUAUUACUGCCUGGGAACCGACGCUGCAAUACAGUAUAAGCCAAACUGUUCUUCUGUUAUGAUUUCCAAUUUCCGUCAUGCCAUACUUGCGAAGCAAUUAUGUCUGGAGCUCAGUGCAUAAGUUGGAAAAAUCAAAGUAGGAGCUCCAAAUUCUUUGGCACAUCAGGCCGCUUGAGUGUUCUUACUUUGCUUCUGUUGUAUGUGCCUCCCUCUUAUGUAAAUUGUUGGCACGGUUACAAAACCAUCUUGUGUCGCCCAACUUAUGUUUUAGGGUAUGUUUAGUUUGUGCCCAAGGUUGCCCCACCAAAGCAUUGGCUGGUUGAGGUUUUGGUUGCCCAUGAUUUGGCAACAUUGGUAAGAAAAAUGAACUAGAGUUGGCUAGAGUUCAUUUGGCAUGCCAAAAAUUUGGCAACCAUCCAAACAAAGACCAAUCUUUGGGUCCAAAAUUUUGAUAAGGUGCACUUUGGCCACAAUCCAAACACACCCUUACUCCCUUCGUCACUAUUAUGAGAUGUUCCAACUUUUUUCUGAUUCAUAUGUAUAUAGUCAAAUUUUCGUGUGUUUGCUCUUCCGUAUGCCAUUUGUGAACGGAGGUAGUUCUUGGCCAUGUUAUUUUUCCUACAGUUUUUAGAGACAGGCUGCGGCGCCACCACCCACCAGCAAGGGUUCGCCAUGACCUCACCAGAAAUGGGGACAGCACAGCUAGCGUGAGAGGACGCAGCGGCUGUGGUGAGGAAGAAGAAAGCGCAGCAUAGGCAAUCCCACUUGGGGCUUGUUCGGUUGCAACAGGAUUUGAAGGGGAUUGGAAUGGAUUGGGAGGAUUAAAUCCCAUACAGUCAAAAUCCCACUCAAUCCCCUCCAGGGCCUUACACAAUUCCUACAACAUUUAUGCGCUCCAAACACCGCCCUUAAGCAGCACUGGUUACGCCAAGGGAACUCCGGCGUGCUGAUUCCAGUUAAAUGCACAAACUAAAAUACCACUAUGUUGCUACAUGCAAAACACAAGCGAGCUAUGAUGCAGUUACAGUGAUGGUAACACAGAAUGUUAAGCUCGUUUUAAAAAGCUGCCACCAGGUUUAAGUGGAGACGAAAAGUCACACCAGUGAAUGGACCUUCGACCUCCAGGUAACAAUUUACUACUUUCAUGGCUGACAUAAUUUCAGCAUCAAUUCCAUUCAAUCAAAAUGGUAGGAAAGUACUUCUCACCAUUGCUUCAAGCAUCAAAGAUUCCAUGCCAUCAAAGUCACUAGGCGUGCUUCAAGCAUAUCAUAAUAUCACAUCAUUGCAAUGCCUCUUCAGUGGGCAAUGCAAUAACAAAAGUGCAUCGACAACGCCAGACUAUUCAUCAUUGUUAUAAAGGGCAGCGUUCAGUUGAGGUGUUUAUCCCCCAACAUCAGUUGCCACACUUCUAGGUACCAAGCAAAUUGACAGCAACCAGUUAUUUAGGCUCAGUUUAGCUCAUCCCAGAUGUUCUGGAGCGCAUAAUAUAUCCGAUUACAAGACAACCAAAUAUCUUAAAACGACCGACCAAACGAGACAGUGGUCAUAACAAUCCAUUGCUACGGCAAACAGAGACUUAGAAGAGGCGCUUGAAGCUGUGGAGGCCUCAUUUCUGUUCAUCGCUGCAAUGGCAGAUUCAUUCAUCAUCAAACUAAGGGCAGCAAGGCUGCCAGUGAUACCACCAGGAGUAUCAACCAUACUCCCAGGAUACCAAUUCUGACCGAUCGAUCGAUGAUGCAUAAUGAACAUGGCAUAAGGAACCACAUGGCACGAAGAAAAAGGAGAGUUGAGCAUUCUAAAGCAUGGACUUGUGUAUGAAAUCGACAUCCCUCCCUUGCUAAAAAGGGGCAGCUUCAUCAAUAGCUGAGAAUCAACGAGGUAAAAUACUUCUUACGGCGCACCGAGGACACUAACACAAGCGCAAAUCCCCGAUUCACGCACUUUAGCCGCCAAUUGGAGGAACUGGAUCGGCAGCAGAUCUUUUCAGAUCGCUCGAGCGCCACUAGACAUUAACAUCAGCAAACAAUUUGCCAGCAUCUUAGAGUAGCGACAGGUAAUUAAACAUGGCGAUGAGGCCACACGGCCUCAAGUAUACAGGGAAAAGAAAUCACGCGUCUAUCACACGACGACACACCACACGCAUCAGCAGCAGCAACAGCAUCAAUAUUUUAGAGCAGCAGCAACGGCAGCAUCAGCGGCAGUACUAAACUUAAGACAGCAGAUGCAGGCGACGACCACGGCAGAUCGGAGCGGACGACCAUAGAGGGGUUUGGAUGCAAGGUAGGGUAGGGUAGGGGGGGUUUAGAUUACCCCGUCUUCUUGAGGCUGCCGCGGAUGCCGGGCUUGGGCUUGGAGGUGGAGGCGACGGCGGCCGCGGCGGGCGCGGCGGCGGUGGAGCCGUGCAGGUUGUUGAUCUUGUCCGGGUCGAAGGGGAGCUUGGGGUGGCGCGCCUCGUGGUGGAUCUGCAUCGACUUGACGUCGGGGGCCGUCACCUUGCAGAGCGGGCACUCCAUCUUGGCGUGGCCGCCCUUCUCCUGCCCGAGCCGGUCCUUCUGCCCGGCCUUGCCCCCGCCGCGGUUGGUCGUCGCCGCGUCGAUCUUCGCCGCGAUCUCCUUGGCCGUGUGCUUCUUCGGCUUCGCCUUGCCCGUCAUCUCCGACGAGGAGGCCGGUUCCUCCCGACGGCCCGCUGGAGCUCUCGCUUUCCGCCGCCGCCGCCGCCGCCGGCUCUCCUAACCCUACUUGCUGCGCUUGUCUUCUUUGCGUUUGACGGGACGGGGGUUGGGGGCGGCUCGGGUGCGGAUGGGGGGCGCCAAUUAUUAGGCCCCCUGGGGCGCGCUGCUCCGCCCGCUCCGCCGUCCGAUCUGGAGCCAGCGGCCCUGAUGGCCCUUCUAGGAUUCCUCCUUUUUUUUUUAUACUAUGAAAGAUGGAAGAAAAAUAUGUUGGUUGGAUGGAAGAUGCGGCUUCUAGGGUUGCUCGCCGUGUCUUUGCAUAACUCUUUUUUUUUUCUAUUCUUUAUUUAAGCCACGGGCUCUAUUCGUUUUUUAUGUUUUCAUUUAUUUAUUUAUUUAUUUAUUUUUAGGGGAUGUAUUCAUUCAUUAUAGUGUCUCUCGUACGAGAAAAGGAGGAUUGUAGAUUAUCGUAUGAGAAAAAGGAACGGGAUUCUAUCGUAUGAGAAACGUAGUGGUGGACAAUAUUUCUGUUUCUGCGAGGGAAAGGGAAUACUGCAGCACGCGUCAAAGGAAAAAAGAGAAUAUUGCUGUAUACUGUGUAGUGGUGGAGGUUUGUUGGAGAUUCCUCUACGGGGCAGUGGUGGAGCUUCGUCUACAGAAAGGCGCAGCAUUUGCAUAAACCAAUAGGGACAGUGCUUCAACUGUUUCUUUAUAUAAAGGUAGGAGAUGUUCCUCUAGAGAUUUUCACAGUACAAAAUUACUACGAGACUCAUGCGUUUGUAACAAAGGUAUCGGCCAACAAUCUUGCAGAACUAAGCGGGAAUAUUUGCUUGCUGAUGAUCAUUUAUCGUUCAAAUUAAAAGGCGCAUAACGGCAAUGUCUCUAAGGUAAAUAACCCCAGCAAAUAUGCAGCAAAAGAGAUACUGACAACAGAACGGUGGUGUAUGAUACCUUCAAAGUUGCCAGCCAGAUCACGGGUAAGCAAGUCAUUGUACUUUUUUAUAGUAAAGAGGAAAAAACUUGCCGUCUAAAUUCACACGGAAGUACACGAAAACAGUCCGGAUAAUAACGCUUCUACAACGGAAACUAGUCACCGUAGCUUUCCACCAGAGACCGUUUCAGGUCAUCACAGCGGCACUUCCCCGCUGUCAGCAAUGACAACUUUGCUCUUUGGUGUCCCGUUCUGCUUGCCCUCGGCCUCGACCUUGUAGACCACGUCCAUUCCAGACAACACCUUGCCGAACACGACGUGCUUGCCAUCCAACCUAGAAUACAGAGUGUAUAUCAUCAACAACAAAGUCCCAACUCCCAACAGAACAAAAGGUUUAGCACAAAUUACUGCGAUUACAAAGCAUCGUGAAGAAUUACCAGCUCGUAGUUACAGUGGUGAUGAAGAACUGGGAUCCGUUGGUAUCUCUCCCAGCAUUGGCCAUGGAAAGGUAGCCUGCACCGACAACCAGUCAAUGAAAAAGGAGGAUGGCUUAACCAGGGCUAUCAUUCUAACGGAGCUCUUCCAGUUGCAAAAUGGAUUUCAAGAAACAAGGAUCAUUACCUGGUCCAGUGUGCUUGAGCUUGAAGUUCUCAUCGCCGAACUUUGUGCCGUAGAUUGAUUCACCACCCCUUCCAUCACCAAGAGUGAAGUCGCCUCCUUGGAUCAUGAAGCUGGGGAUAAUUCUGUGGAACGAACUCCCCUUGUAGUGGAGAGGUUUGCCGCUGUUGCCCAUACCUUUCUCUCCUGUAUGACGAUUAAGUGGGGCAUGGUCAGCAACCACUAGCAGACAUCAUAGAGAGAAGCUACUAUACAGAUUGUAUUACUAAUAAAGCAGAUAUUCUGAAUAUAAUGAAUAUGCAGUAAAUAGUGAUAGGCUUUCGUAAUACUCUAUGUUGGAAUAUGAACUUAUGAAGAGUGUAACGACAGUUAUCCACCUUUCUUUUCAUGAAGUAAAAUAUACUUAGACUAGGCACUAGACAACUACGAACUCAGCCAGUUACUUAAUUUCUUCUCUUUUUUCAUAUUGACAUUCAUAUUUAGGCACUUGUAUGGUAGAGCAAGGGAUGAACAAUCAAAAUUCUGCACACAGGGCUACUCCUUGAGACCGUGCAGAACUUACAACAUAGAACCUUCAAUUAUGCUCGAGGGGGUUUGGAAUUUAAACAGAUGAUCCCCAAAACUUUGCAGGAAAACAGGCUGCCACCAUUCUCUCUACAUUCUUGUGUCUAGAAUGGUAAACUUGGAUUUGAAAUAAUGAGGAAACAAUACAGGUAGAUUCCUUCUCUUCAAGGAAAAAGGUAAGCACAGCUUUGCCAUGUUACAAGCAUAGCAUGCAUCAAAUGAGUUAUAUAAUUUCCAUUGUGCAAUUAUGUUUUGACUUUCUGAGGAAGGCAAUUAUAUUUGAUUGGCUAAAUAACUUGAAGAUUAGCCAAAAUAACAAGUAACAGUAAUUGGAUAGAGCAGAUUUUAUUCCAAACGCCAGCCUUGCCAUCAGACUAAUCAUCUGGAAACUCCAACAAGCAGACGGCGUAAAGAAUGUAACAGCGCAAGUAGUACGGAAGCAUACCUGUGCAGAGUGCUCUGAAGUUCUCUGUAGAACAAAAGAUAUCGAGCCAUUAGCAUUUCUGUCAUCCAGUAAAUGAGUACAUGGUUUGUAACUCGAACAGUAAGGAGAUGAUACCUGCGGUUUUAGGAACAGCCUUGCCGAAAAGUCCCAUGACAACCCGACCUAUGACAAUUCAGAAUCAAUUUAAAUGCCACCGGAUCAAUCAAACAAUGGAAAGAGAUGCACAAUAAGAACAUACAUGAAUAGCACACCAGUGAAUAUUUUUCUCACUUAUAAACAUAAAACAAAAUUAGGCGCGGUGCAGCCAUCUAAACAUGAAAAUUCAAUUUCAAUGUCGAUCUCACAAUUUUUUCAACGAUCCAAAGCAAAAGGAAUCACUCAACGUCUAACUACAAACCGGGCUUUCUAGGCCAGGAAACAGGCAUGCGAUAUUGGUUGUAUCAGUAGCAGUCUACUGUCUGCCCCAUGCUGGGAUGAUACAUCGCGCUGAUCUGAAAAUAAAUCUGCGGCCAGGGGUUCAGCACAGACCUGCGGGCUUGCCGUCGAUCUCGAUGUCGAAGUAGACCUUGUGCGUCACCUCAGAAAGGUUGGAUUUCUUGCCCUGAAAACAAGGAAGAAAAUCGUAAGUACGCAUCCCAUACAGAGACACCAACCACAUCAAACCCUAACACAUAUAAGCCGUCCGGAUCCGCGGCAGACAGGUUCAGACAUCAGCGCGAGGGCAACGAUUAACCGUAUCAGAGAAACGAUCAGAUCGGCGAACAAAUCGGCAAGCGGAAAAGUAAGGGGAUGGGUUCGCGGUAGACGGACGAGGUGGAUGAGCACCUGGGCGAGCACCAGGGUGGCGGCGACGAGCGCCAGCCACAGGCACAGGUGCGCCGGGGCCCUCGCCGCCGCGCUCCGCCUCCACGCCCUCAUCGCCAUCUCGGAUCGUAUCGCCGCGGACGAGAGAGAAAGAGAGGGAGAGAGCAGAUCUGUUUACUCGUUCCACUACGCAGUCUCCGAGAGGGAGAGUCCACGGGCGAGAUAAACAGAGCUGCUCGUUCGGCUGACAGGUGGGGUCGAACAGUCAGACCACGGCCUCACAAGCUGCUCGCCCCCGACCGCACCCAUGACUGCUCUUUUGCUUUGCAACAGCAACUCCUAGCACCAAAUUCCACUCCUCCUCGCAUAAGGAACACUAGAUUCCACUCACUUUAUAUUCUAUCAACUUCUUAUAACUACAAAAUAUGAUUAAAAAAAUCACCAAACUUCUGAAAUUUCGGUAAUUUCAGUGGGUACCAAAAUAUAAACCCUACUGCUAACUCUUUUUCCCUGUUAUGCAAAAAAACUCUUUCUCUCUCUUCUAACACUAUUUCACCCUUCACAAAGAAGCACACAAGUAUUUUGACUCUUUUUAGAGAGUUGAUCCACCGUUCAAAACUAAGUGUCGUGGUAUUGAACUAAAACCAUAACACUUAUUUUGAAACGGAUGGGGGUAAACAAGAAUUAUGUUCAUGAAAGUAAUACAUUUAGAUCUUGCGGUUAAUUAAGAACUUGGGUUUGUUACAGCUCUAUCAUGUUGGGUCUAGUAAGUAGGUGUAUCACGCGUUUGUUGUGAUUACUACUCCCUUCCUUAUUAAGUAUCAUCGGUCCUUAUAAAAAGACACCCUUGCAGAAAAAAUAGAAAUACAUUCAAAAUCUUAGGGGAGCCGAAGUCUUCUUCGUCCCGCAUCCAUCGGCGGCGUGUCGUGGGCAUAGCUUGAUGCCGCUUCUAGGCCUUCGCAUCGACGAUCCUAACUUUUUGAAAUCCAUGAGUUUGUAGAAGCAACGGUCGGGAAGUCGUUGAUGCAGACUAGGAAAUGCUGACAACCCGGAGAAAAGGAUGUCGAUAAGGGGUUGUACAAUCUCUGAGUACCACGAAAGCCGACCAAAUCUAGAUAAGAUCCACCGGAUACCUAAACCGUCUGGAAUCCAAACGACUCGUCAAAUAUAUAGCUCCACUCGUGCUCCACCAACGAAAACACACACAAAUGAAACGGGGAAUAGGGCCCUCCACCAGCGAAAAAACAUGCCCUCCACCCGCAUAGAGAAUAUCAUUCCUACUCUGGGGCAACGCGGUCACUUCACUGCCCCAAACCACAUACAAAGAUUCUCUAAAGAAGACCUGAAACAAAACACCCAUGCCGUUGUACGAUAGGUUUGGAUCUGAUGCUGAACUCGCCGCCGUUCAAAACAAUGCACAGAAGCCCGACCAGGUUGGGUCACCGAUGAAGACCUCCACACUGGAUUCCUUCGGUCGACGUUGGCUUCACCAACGCCAAUGUCGUGCAUCGCUUGACAAAGGCUGACACUCGAGCACACAUCUCAUUUGCCGUUUCACAACAACCCUCCAACGCCUCAGAGAAGGCCCCCGAUCCAGGCCUCCCCGCCCCCGUCGGUGUCGCACGGGCUUUGCUCGGCGACGAGACGGAUAGACGUGGCAGCCAGGGUUACUUCUCCGCCUGUGUCUUAGGAAAAAAGCGCUCUGAGAAACAAGGAACUGGAUUUUCUUCUGGUUUACUAACCAAUCGGUAACUCCAUCAGAUUCCUUUUAUUCAUGAUCUCAUGUUCUUGUAUGUUAUGAGAGCAAAUAUGCCAUACAGAGUGGUUGAUCUACAAUUUUCAGAUAUACUACAACACAUACUGCGUUUUUGCAACGACAAGUCAUUGUAUUGCCGCAAAAAGAAAAACGACAAGUCAUUGUAGUCAGGCGUAACAAAUGUGAAUAGUAGCAGAGAAACUCUAUGAAAUGACGGGAGUACCAACGAUUGCUGCACAAAGCCAAACCUCUGGGAAAUGAAGAAGUGCUAACAAUCGUUGCACAAGCCACAUCGGUUCUGAUUGUCAAGUGACUCGUGAGGAAGAAAAGAGAGUAGGGGCCUACUUGCUCCAAAAAAUUCUCAAAAACACAUGAACAAGAAAAAAGUAGGGUUAGAGUGCCGUGUCCUCUUUAAUCCUACUCCUUCCGUUCCUAAAUACAAGUCUUUUUAGACAUUUGAAAUGGACUACAACAUACGGAUGCAUGUAGACAUAUUUUAUAGUGUAGAUUCACUCAUUUUGCUCCGUAUGUAGUCACUUGUUGAAAUCUCUAAAAAGACUUACAUUUGGGAACGGAGGGAGUACAAAAUUACAAAACUACAUGAAUUCAGAUAAACCAUUGUUUGAUAGCACGGGAAAAGCAAAAGAAAUUCCACCAAUUUUCCUCCAAGAUAGAGUGCAAAAGAAUCCCAAGUAAGAGUUCCUUGGAUUUCAAUCCAGCGAAUCAAAUAACGACCAACAUAGGGAAAGUUCUAAGGAUCCAAAUCGUCCACAAAUUCUACUAAAUGCCUUCGAAUCAAAGGAGCCGUGGCAAAUUUCAUCCAUGAAAUCACUUUGCACAGGGAGCGCGACCAACAUUGCCCAGUUUUUUAACAAUCGAUGGUGUUGUCUAGUAUUGGGCCUCAAGAAAAGAAAAAAUGUUGCCUAGUAUUGGACCAAAUCUGAACUUUGCAUAUAUUUGAACGGCAAAAAAUGAACAUAUAAGAAAAGUCACUGAAAUCAUGUGUUGCAGAAGCAAAUUGCAGAGAUCCUACAGGAAAUGGAGUAGGUGGUAGCAACAAGAGUUGCACGAGUCCCAACGGUUUUGAUUUGCAUUGCACACUCUCACAGUACUACAACAGAAUACGUGACAAAUGAUCAGAGUACGGAAGCUACUACUGAUCUACUACGCAGAACAAGGUAUCACCAACCAAUGAAAAAGUUACUAGUUUGUACAUUCACUGUCAGUAGUUGUACUAAUAAAACCACCAUGCCAGCACCAUCAUCUGAUUAUCUGUCGCCUCGCAGAAGAGCGACACAGGGAUUUGGCAUCUGCGCAUCAA
RNAcentral lists this long non-coding RNA (43764 nucleotides) under Triticum aestivum (bread wheat). RNAcentral's name for it is "long non-coding RNA (TAES_LNC018291)". The record is from RNAcentral. Lineage: Eukaryota; Viridiplantae; Streptophyta; Magnoliopsida; Poales; Poaceae.